Transfer RNA from Ovis aries (sheep), 72 nucleotides. It matches the Rfam family "tRNA". From Rfam's summary of the family: Transfer RNA (tRNA) molecules are approximately 80 nucleotides in length. Their secondary structure includes four short double-helical elements and three loops (D, anti-codon, and T loops). Further hydrogen bonds mediate the characteristic L-shaped molecular structure. tRNAs have two regions of fundamental functional importance: the anti-codon, which is responsible for specific mRNA codon recognition, and the 3' end, to which the tRNAs corresponding amino acid is attached (by aminoacyl-tRNA synthetases). tRNAs cope with the degeneracy of the genetic code in two manners: having more than one tRNA (with a specific anti-codon) for a particular amino acid; and 'wobble' base-pairing, i.e. permitting non-standard base-pairing at the 3rd anti-codon position. Lineage: Eukaryota; Metazoa; Chordata; Mammalia; Artiodactyla; Bovidae. The record is from Rfam.
UCCCUGGUGGCUCAGUGGUAAAGAAUCUGCCUGCUAAUGCAGGAGACAUGGGUUCGAUCCCUGACCUGGGAA